UACGGGGGGGGCAAGCGUUGUUCGGAAUUACUGGGCGUAAAGGGCUCGUAGGCGGCCAACUAAGUCAGACGUGAAAUCCCCAGGCUCAACCUGGGAACUGCGUCUGAUACUGGAUGGCUUGAAUUCGGGAGAGGGAUGCAGAAUUCCAGGUGUAGCGGUGAAAUGCGUAGAUAUCUGGAGGAAUACCGGUGGCGAAGGCGGCAUCCUGGACCGACAUUGACGCUGAGGAGCGAAAGCGUGGGGAGCAAACAGG
This 253-nucleotide ribosomal RNA is filed under the name uncultured bacterium. RNAcentral describes it as "partial 16S ribosomal RNA". It matches the Rfam family "Bacterial small subunit ribosomal RNA", at positions 524 to 776 of the family's 1533-position model. The record is from RNAcentral.